Molecule: ribosomal RNA, 468 nt
Filed under: uncultured bacterium
Lineage: Bacteria
Description: partial 16S ribosomal RNA
Rfam family: Bacterial small subunit ribosomal RNA
Source: RNAcentral
GACGAACGCUGGCGGCGUGCUUAACACAUGCAAGUCGAACGGAAAGGCCCUGCUUUUGUGGGGUGCUCGAGUGGCGAACGGGUGAGUAACACGUGAGUAACCUGCCCUUGACUUUGGGAUAACUUCAGGAAACUGGGGCUAAUACCGGAUAGGAGCUCCUGCUGCAUGGUGGGGGUUGGAAAGUUUCGGCGGUUGGGGAUGGACUCGCGGCUUAUCAGCUUGUUGGUGGGGUAGUGGCUUACCAAGGCUUUGACGGGUAGCCGGCCUGAGAGGGUGACCGGCCACAUUGGGACUGAGAUACGGCCCAGACGCCUACGGGAGGCAGCAGGGGGGAAUAUUGCACAAUGGGCGGAAGCCUGAUGCAGCAACGCCGCGUGCGGGAUGACGGCCUUCGGGUUGUAAACCGCUUUCGCCUGUGACGAAGAGUGAGUGACGGUAAUGGGUAAAGAAGCACCGGCUAACUACGUG